GCGUCUUCCUGGUCAAGGUUCCGGAUGUGAAAUCCCCGGACUCAAGCCUGGGAACUGCAUUCGAAACUGGCAGGCUAGAGUCUUUGUAGAGGGGGGGUAGAAUUUCCAGGUGUAGCGGUGAAAUGCGUAGAGAUCUGGAGGAAUACCGGUGGCGAAGGCGGCCCCCUGGACAAAGACUGACGCUCAGGUGCGAAAGCGUGGGGAGCAAACAGGAUUAGAUACCCUGGUAGUCCACGCCGUAAACGAUGUCGAUUUGGAGGUUGUGCCCUUGAGGCGUGGCUUCCGGAGCUAACGCGUUAAAUCGACCGCCUGGGGAGUACGGCCGCAAGGUUAAAACUCAAAUGAAUUGACGGGGGCCCGCACAAGCGGUGGAGCAUGUGGUUUAAUUCGAUGCAACGCGAAGAACCUUACCUGGUCUUGACAUCCACAGAACUUUCCAGAGAUGGAUUGGUGCCUUCGGGAACUGUGAGACAGGUGCUGCAUGGCUGUCGUCAGCUCGUGUUGUGAAAUGUUGGGUUAAGUCCCGCAACGAGCGCAACCCUUAUCCUUUGUUGCCAGCGGUUAGGCCGGGAACUCAAAGGAGACUGCCAGUGAUAAACUGGAGGAAGGUGGGGAUGACGUCAAGUCAUCAUGGCCCUUACGACCAGGGCUACACACGUGCUACAAUGGCAUAUACAAAGAGAAGCGACCUCGCGAGAGCAAGCGGACCUCAUAAAGUAUGUCGUAGUCCGGAUUGGAGUCUGCAACUCGACUCCAUGAAGUCGGAAUCGCUAGUAAUCGUAGAUCAGAAUGCUACGGUGAAUACGUUCCCGGGCCUUGUACACACCGCCCGUCACACCAUGGGAGUGGGUUGCAAAAGAAGUAGGUAGCUUAACCUUCGGGAGGGCGCUACCACUUAGGAUUGCUGGG
RNAcentral lists this ribosomal RNA (909 nucleotides) under Klebsiella pneumoniae. RNAcentral's name for it is "bacterial SSU rRNA". It matches the Rfam family "Bacterial small subunit ribosomal RNA", at positions 571 to 1479 of the family's 1533-position model. The record is from RNAcentral. Lineage: Bacteria; Pseudomonadati; Pseudomonadota; Gammaproteobacteria; Enterobacterales; Enterobacteriaceae.